UACGUAGGCAGCAAGCGUUGUUCGGAGUUACUGGGCGUAAAGAGUGUGUAGGCGGUUCUCUAAGUUCCGUGUGAAAUCUCCCGGCUCAACUGGGAGGGUGCGCGGAAAACUGGAGGGCUUGAGUAUGGGAGAGGAAAGCGGAAUUCCUGGUGUAGCGGUGAAAUGCGUAGAGAUCCGGAGGAACACCGAAGGCGAAGGCAGUGUCCUGGGGAGUACCUGACGCUCAGGUGCGAAAGCCAGGGGAGCGAACGGG
This 253-nucleotide ribosomal RNA is filed under the name uncultured bacterium. Its description in RNAcentral is "partial 16S ribosomal RNA". It matches the Rfam family "Bacterial small subunit ribosomal RNA", at positions 524 to 776 of the family's 1533-position model. The record is from RNAcentral.